GACAAACGGGUCAAAUUAAGAUUUGUACAGUAAAAAGGGGGUUAUGAAUAAUAACAGAUUGAAGAGAAAUAUUAUGUUUUCUAGGAAGGUUAAAUUUGAAUAGGAAUAAUUAAUUUUUUGAUUUCUUAGUUUUUGAGGCCCCGAAAUUUUAGUAUAAAACCGGGAUUAGAUACCCCGUUAUUUGAAUAUUAAAUUUUGAUUUAGUUAUAUAAUAAUUUACUUGAGUAUUACGAGUGCGAAUAAAGUGAAUCCAAUGUAGAAUGAUUUGUUUGUUUUUUCUUAAAACUCAAAGAACUUGGCGGUGCCUUAAGUCCUUCCAGGGGAACCUGUCCUGUAAUUGAUAGUCCACAAUUUAACUUUCCUUUUAUUGAAGAUUUUUUAUUAAAUUUCAGCUUGUAUACCGUCGUCGUCAGAUUACCUUUAAGAGUAACAAAGUUAUCGGAUAGAAAAGAAAUAGUUAAGAUAAUUUAUAUUUAUGUAAAAAUGAAGUUAUUGUUGUAUAUAUUUAUUUCUGUACGUCAGAUCAAGGUGCAGCCGAUGAAAAGGUAGAGAUGGGUUACAAUAGCUAAUUGCUAUACGGAUUUCUUGUUGUGAUAAUAGAUUGAAGGAGGACUUGGAAGUAAUUAUGAGAGUAAGAGAGCUCUAAUGAAUAGUGGCUCUAAGGCGUGC
Molecule: ribosomal RNA, 669 nt
Filed under: Gaza daedala
Lineage: Eukaryota; Metazoa; Mollusca; Gastropoda; Trochida; Margaritidae
Description: partial 12S ribosomal RNA
Source: RNAcentral